RNAcentral lists this ribosomal RNA (1470 nucleotides) under metagenome. Its description in RNAcentral is "bacterial SSU rRNA". It matches the Rfam family "Bacterial small subunit ribosomal RNA". The record is from RNAcentral.
AGAGUUUGAUCCUGGCUCAGGACGAACGCUGGCGGCACGCUUAACACAUGCAAGUCGAACGAGAGAAGAGGAGCUUGCUUUUCUGAUCUAGUGGCGGACGGGUGAGUAACACGUGAGCAAUCUGCCUUUCAGAGGGGGAUACCGAUUGGAAACGAUCGUUAAUACCGCAUAACAUAAUUGAACCGCAUGAUUUGAUUAUCAAAGAUUUAUCGCUGAAAGAUGAGCUCGCGUCUGAUUAGCUAGUUGGUAAGGUAACGGCUUACCAAGGCGACGAUCAGUAGCCGGACUGAGAGGUUGAUCGGCCACAUUGGGACUGAGACACGGCCCAGACUCCUACGGGAGGCAGCAGUGGGGAAUAUUGCACAAUGGAGGAAACUCUGAUGCAGCGAUGCCGCGUGAGGGAAGAAGGUUUUAGGAUUGUAAACCUCUGUCUUCAGGGACGAAAAAAGACGGUACCUGAGGAGGAAGCUCCGGCUAACUACGUGCCAGCAGCCGCGGUAAUACGUAGGGAGCGAGCGUUGUCCGGAAUUACUGGGUGUAAAGGGAGCGUAGGCGGGAUCGCAAGUCAGAUGUGAAAACUAUGGGCUUAACCCAUAAACUGCAUUUGAAACUGUGGUUCUUGAGUGAAGUAGAGGUAAGCGGAAUUCCUAGUGUAGCGGUGAAAUGCGUAGAUAUUAGGAGGAACAUCAGUGGCAAAGGCGGCUUACUGGGCUUUAACUGACGCUGAGGCUCGAAAGCGUGGGGAGCAAACAGGAUUAGAUACCCUGGUAGUCCACGCCGUAAACGAUGAUUACUAGGUGUGGGGGGACUGACCCCUUCCGUGCCGCAGCAAACGCAAUAAGUAAUCCACCUGGGGAGUACAACCGCAGGGUUGAAACUCAAAGGAAUUGACGGGGGCCCGCACAAGCAGUGGAGUAUGUGGAUUAAUUCGAAGCAACGCGAAGAACCUUACCAGGUCUUGACAUCGUAUGCAUAGCUCAGAGAUGAGUGAAAUCUCUUCGGAGACAUAUAGACAGGUGGUGCAUGGUUGUCGUCAGCUCGUGUCGUGAGAUGUUGGGUUAAGUCCCGCAACGAGCGCAACCCUUACUGUUAGUUGCUACGCAAGAGCACUCUAGCAGGACUGCCGUUGACAAAACGGAGGAAGGUGGGGAUGACGUCAAAUCAUCAUGCCCCUUAUGACCUGGGCCUCACACGUACUACAAUGGCUGUCAACAGAGGGAAGCAAAGCCGCGAGGUGGAGCGAACCCCUAAAAGCAGUCUUAGUUCGGAUUGUGGGCUGCAACCCGCCUACAUGAAGUCGGAAUUGCUAGUAAUCGCAGAUCAGCAUGCUGCGGUGAAUACGUUCCCGGGCCUUGUACACACCGCCCGUCACGCCAUGGGAGUCGGUAACACCCGAAGCCUGUAGUCUAACCGCAAGGAGGACGCAGUCGAAGGUGGGAUUGAUGACUGGGGUGAAGUCGUAACAAGGUA